Molecule: ribosomal RNA, 433 nt
Filed under: uncultured bacterium
Lineage: Bacteria
Description: partial 16S ribosomal RNA
Rfam family: Bacterial small subunit ribosomal RNA
Source: RNAcentral
AACGAACGCUGGCGGCAUGCCUAACACAUGCAAGUCGAACGAGACCUUCGGUCCUGGUACCCCACGGGCGCGCGACGCGUUGACACCUGCCUUUAGUUUCGUGCUCACUCCCCGAAGGGUGUGCUACUACCGCUAAUUCCCUUUGGGCCAACGCUCUAUCGCCUUUGUGUGGGACCGCGUUGGAUUAGCGAGUUGGUAGGGUAAAAGCAUAGCUAGGCGACGGUCCAUAGCUGGUCGGAGAGGACGACCAGCCACCCUGGGGCUGAGACACGGCCCAGACUGCUACGGAGGGGAGCAGUAGGGAAUAUUGGACGAGGGGGGAAGGCGUGAUCCAGCAGCGCCGCGUAAGUGAUGAAGGCCGUAGGGUUGUAAAGCUCUUUUACCCGGGACGAUAAUGACGGUACCGGGAGAAUAAGCACCGGCUAACUCCGUG